RNAcentral lists this ribosomal RNA (253 nucleotides) under uncultured bacterium. RNAcentral describes it as "partial 16S ribosomal RNA". It matches the Rfam family "Bacterial small subunit ribosomal RNA", at positions 524 to 776 of the family's 1533-position model. The record is from RNAcentral.
UACAGGGACUGCAAGCGUUAUUCGGAUUCACUGGGCGUAAAGGGUGCGCAGGCGGUUGGGUGUGUCAGAUGUGAAAUCCCGAGGCUUAACCUCGGAACUGCGUCUGAAACUACUCGACUAGAGUACUGGAGAGGGAAACGGAAUUCACGGUGUAGCAGUGAAAUGCGUAGAUAUCGUGAGGAACACCAGAGGCGAAGGCGGUUUCCUGGACAGUUACUGACGCUCAGGCACGAAAGCAUGGGGAGCAAAAGGG